UAAAUGAGGACUCUUGUCAGC
RNAcentral lists this small nuclear RNA (21 nucleotides) under Arabidopsis thaliana (thale cress). RNAcentral describes it as "snRNA_04598". The record is from RNAcentral. Lineage: Eukaryota; Viridiplantae; Streptophyta; Magnoliopsida; Brassicales; Brassicaceae.